RNAcentral lists this ribosomal RNA (460 nucleotides) under uncultured bacterium. RNAcentral describes it as "partial 16S ribosomal RNA". It matches the Rfam family "Bacterial small subunit ribosomal RNA", at positions 338 to 795 of the family's 1533-position model. The record is from RNAcentral.
CCUACGGGUGGCAGCAGUGAGGAAUAUUGGUCAAUGGGCGAGAGCCUGAACCAGCAAAGUCGCGUGAAGGAUGAAGGCUCUAUGGUUUGUAAACUUCUUUUAUAUGGGAAUAAAGUGAGGAACGUGUUCCUUUUUGUGUGUACCAUAUGCAUAAGCAUCGGCUAACUCCGUGCCAGCAGCCGCGGUAAUACGGAGGAUGCGAGCGUUCUCCGGAUUUAUUAGGUUUAAAGGGUGCGUAGGUGGUUAAUUAAGUCAGCGGUGAAAGUUUGGGGAUCAACCAGAAGAUUGCCGUUGAAACUGGGUGACUUGAGUACAGUAGAGGUAGGCGGAAUGCGGGGUGUAGCGGUGAAAUGCAUAGAUAUCACGCAGAACUCCGAUUGCGAAGGCAGCUUACUAAACUAUAACUGACACUGAAGCACGAAAGCGUGGGGAUCAAACAGGAUUAGAUACCCUAGUAGUC